Long non-coding RNA from Ictalurus punctatus (channel catfish), 429 nucleotides. Lineage: Eukaryota; Metazoa; Chordata; Actinopteri; Siluriformes; Ictaluridae. The record is from Ensembl.
CUGAUAUUAAACCGGUCCAUGGGGCAAAAAAGGUUGUAGACCGCUGUGUUACUGGAUGUCCUGAUAAACAUUUAAUACUUGAAUCUGUGUAUGUUCCUCAAUGUGUGUGUGUGUGUGUGUGUGUGUGUGCGUGUGUUUGUGUGUGUUUGUGUGUACAUGUGUGUAUGUAUGUGUGUGUGUGUGUUUGUGCAUGCGUGUGUGAGUGUGUGUGUGUUGGUGAUCUGCUUUUCUGAACACGUCUCAUGACUGUGCUGCUCUCCUCUAACAGGAAGUCUCCUCUCUGAAGAACAGCAUUCUGGGUAUGAGCAUGUGGAUGAUGAGCUUCUCUCAGUAAAGUCUGGGAUUGGAGAAAAGGCUGAGUAUUAUGAUGAUGUCAUCGACACCAGUGACUUCAUAAGUGAUACAGGAAGAGUUGACCCACCAGAGGAC